CCUGGUGGCUCAGAUGGUAAAGAAUCUGCCUGCAAUGCAGGAGAUCCAGGUUCAAUCCCUGGGUCAGGA
Molecule: transfer RNA, 69 nt
Filed under: Capra hircus (goat)
Lineage: Eukaryota; Metazoa; Chordata; Mammalia; Artiodactyla; Bovidae
Also listed under: 1 other name
Rfam family: tRNA
About the family: Transfer RNA (tRNA) molecules are approximately 80 nucleotides in length.
Source: Rfam by way of RNAcentral